Molecule: ribosomal RNA, 1324 nt
Filed under: metagenome
Description: SSU rRNA
Rfam family: Eukaryotic small subunit ribosomal RNA
Source: RNAcentral
AGUCUGGUGCCAGCAGCCGCGUAAUUCCAGCUCUAAUAGCGUAUAUUAAAGUUGUUGCAGUUAAAAAGCUCGUAGUUGGAUUUCGGCGUGCGCUCAGGCUGGUCGGCCGUCAUGGUCUGUACCGUUUGGGUCACGCCCCACUGUAGGAUACUCACCGCUGUCCUUAACUGGGUGGCGGUCAAAGGUUGUAGUACCAUCCGGGGGCAACUCUGGGUUAUUACCGCUGGGGUUCCUACUCUUUUACUUUGAGCAAAUUAGAGUGUUCAAAGCAGGCAAUCGAGCCUUGAAUACUUCAGCAUGGGAUAAUGGAACAGGACUGGGAUCCUGAUUUCGUUGGUUUCUAGGGUCUUAGUAAUGAUUAAUAGGGAUAGUUGGGGGCAUUAGUAUUUAAUUGUCAGAGGUGAAAUUCUUGGAUUUAUGAAAGACUAACUUCUGCGAAAGCAUUUGCCAAGGAUGUUUUCAUUAAUCAAGAACGAAAGUUAGGGGAUCGAAGACGAUCAGAUACCGUCGUAGUCUUAACCAUAAACGAUGCCGACCAGCGAUUGGGAGACGUUAUAUAUAUGACUCCCCCAGCAGCUUGCGAGAAAUCACAAGUCUUUGGGUUCCGGGGGGAGUAUGGUCGCAAGGCUGAAACUUAAAGGAAUUGACGGAAGGGCACCACCAGGAGUGGAGCCUGCGGCUUAAUUUGACACAACACGGGGAAACUUACCAGGUCCAGACAUAGUAAGGAUUGACAGAUUUGAGAGCUCUUUCUUGAUUCUAUGGGUGGUGGUGCAUGGCCGUUCUUAGUUGGUGGAGUGAUUUGUCUGGUUAAUUCCGUUAACGAACGAGACCUUAACCUGCUAAAUAUGUCACUGAUAGACUUCUACCAAAACAGGCGGGUGUUUAGGGUGAAGUUUCGAUGGAGCCCGACGCAUUCGUCUGUGGAUGACUAUCAGGAUGUACUUCUUAGAGGGACUAUCUGUAUCAAAGCAGAUGGAAGUUUGAGGCAAUAACAGGUCUGUGAUGCCCUUAGAUGUUCUGGGCCGCACGCGCGCUACACUGAUAAGUUCAACGAGUUUAACACCUUGCUCGAUAGGGCUGUAAUCUUUGAAAAACUUAUCGUGAUGGGGAUAGAUCAUUGUAAUUAUUGGUCUUCAACGAGGAAUUCCUAGUAAGCGUGAGUCAUCAGCUCGCGUUGAUUACGUCCCUGCCCUUUGUACACACCGCCCGUCGCUCCUACCGAUUGAAUGAUGAGGUGAAAUGUUGGGAGCUGGGGCUUUUUGACGGCGGGGCAACUCGUCGCCAGAGGUUCUGCAAACUUCAUUAAACCUUUUCAUUUAGA